CCUACGGGAGGCAGCAGUGGGGAAUAUUGCACAAUGGGCGAAAGCCUGAUGCAGCGACGCCGCGUGAGGGAUGACGGCCUUCGGGUUGUAAACCUCUUUCAGCAGGGAAGAAGCGAAAGUGACGGUACCUGCAGAAGAAGCGCCGGCUAACUACGUGCCAGCAGCCGCGGUAAUACGUAGGGCGCAAGCGUUGUCCGGAAUUAUUGGGCGUAAAGAGCUCGUAGGCGGCUUGUCACGUCGGUUGUGAAAGCCCGGGGCUUAACCCCGGGUCUGCAGUCGAUACGGGCAGGCUAGAGUGUGGUAGGGGAGAUCGGAAUUCCUGGUGUAGCGGUGAAAUGCGCAGAUAUCAGGAGGAACACCGGUGGCGAAGGCGGAUCUCUGGGCCAUUACUGACGCUGAGGAGCGAAAGCGUGGGGAGCGAACAGGAUUAGAUACCCUGGUAGUCCACGCCGUAAACGGUGGGAACUAGGUGUUGGCGACAUUCCACGUCGUCGGUGCCGCAGCUAACGCAUAAGUUCCCGCCUGGGGAGUACGGCCGCAAGGCUAAAACNCAAAGGAAUUGACGG
This 566-nucleotide ribosomal RNA is filed under the name uncultured bacterium. RNAcentral describes it as "bacterial SSU rRNA". It matches the Rfam family "Bacterial small subunit ribosomal RNA", at positions 338 to 916 of the family's 1533-position model. The record is from RNAcentral.